GAUGAACGCUGGCGGCGUGCCUAAUACAUGCAAGUCGAGCGAACGGACGAGAAGCUUGCUUUUCUGAUGUUAGCGGCGGACGGGUGAGUAACACGUGGAUAACCUACCUAUAAGACUGGGAUAACUUCGGGAAACCGGAGCUAAUACCGGAUAAUAUUUUGAACCGCAUGGUUCAAAAGUGAAAGACGGUCUUGCUGUCACUUAUAGAUGGAUCCGCGCUGCAUUAGCUAGUUGGUAAGGUAACGGCUUACCAAGGCAACGAUGCAUAGCCGACCUGAGAGGGUGAUCGGCCAAACUGGAACGGAGACACGGUCCAGACUCCUACGGGAGGAAGCAGUAGGGAAUCUUCCGCAAUGGGCGAAAGCCUGACGGAGCAACGCCGCGUGAGUGAUGAAGGUCUUCGGAUCGUAAAACUCUGUUAUUAGGGAAGAACAUAUGUGUAAGUAACUGUGCACAUCUUGACGGUACCUAAUCAGAAAGCCACGGCUAACUACGUG
Molecule: ribosomal RNA, 497 nt
Filed under: uncultured bacterium
Lineage: Bacteria
Description: partial 16S ribosomal RNA
Rfam family: Bacterial small subunit ribosomal RNA
Source: RNAcentral